AGUAUACAUGUUUGGUAUAAUAAGUAAAACUAAACAAGUUUAACGGGUGACAAAUUUGACCAGUGUGUAACUCCAGCCCUUGCCCACCAUCAUUGUUUUUUUUCCACGCCGUCAGUUUUGUCGAGGUGAUAUUUUAAUUGAAUAUUUGCUGCUGGAAACGCGUGUGCCUCGAGCAAGGAAUUAAAUUUGAAACGCCAUUUAUUCCUGGACGAUAUGAGGAUAGAAAAGACACAUCGGCAAUGUUGAUCAGGAAGGAAACGAUCCGGAAUCGAUUUAGAAGCUGUUCCGAACAAGAUUCCAACAAAAUUGUGCCAAAUACAGCGUAGCAGAAGAGCGAGGUUGAAGCCGGGAAGAUGCGCUGUGAGAGAUCCAGAUGACGAUGGAGAUUAACUUUUACCGUAACAUUUGUUAGUGAUUGUGGUGAAAAAUGCAAAUGUACACCAAUAACAUUAUUUUAAGUAGAUUCUAGAUUAAAAUAAAUGGGUCCGCUUCGUCUUUCAAUCAG
Molecule: long non-coding RNA, 505 nt
Filed under: Aedes aegypti (yellow fever mosquito)
Lineage: Eukaryota; Metazoa; Arthropoda; Insecta; Diptera; Culicidae
Description: lncRNA AAEL026509
Source: RNAcentral